CAUCGUUAAACCAGGAAAACCACUCAAAUUAACCAAGCUAAAAUAAUUGAGCCUUUUGCCUUGAGUGUCCCUAAUGGCCUGUCAACUUAUCCUACGCAUAUGUUACACUGUAUUUCGCAAUCGCUGCCCUUAAAAAACAAGUGCGUAUAUGACACAUUGUGUUAUUUUCCUAUAUGACAGGAGUCUAGCAGUGGCCAGCCGAAAUAUUGUAUUAAAGCAACUGAGUUAAAUUCUAUGUUGUGCUGGCUUUGCUAUUUUGUUUUGUUUUGCUUUGUUUUGUUUUUCUUUUCAAUAUUUCCUCUGAAAAUUGUAUAGCUUCUUAUAAGAAAUAUCCGUCACCUUAUACCCGGCCAGAUCUGUCUAAUUGCGUAUGUAAUAUUACAUGGUAAAUAGAACCUUACGUCAGUCACUGUGAAGAAUUACUGACAGCCUGUUAGCUAUAAGAUUGACAGAGCUCCAUAGUCACGUAUCCAGAGGCAAAGAAGCGCGGGAGAAAAGCAUCACUCCUUAAACCAAGAAGAUACAACAGACCUGCAAUAAUGGCCACUUUCUGCCCAACACAGUUGGUGAUUGUUGCUCUCAACAUUUUCCUCGUUGUGAUAUUUGUUGUGGCUAACAAGGACUUCUGUGGUAGUGUUUUUGAAACUCAACUCGACCACGCUUUAGUUGGUCACGUCAUGAGGACGGCUGUAGUUGUGGACGAGUUUGAAUGUCAGUUGAAAUGCAUUGG
This is a long non-coding RNA of Orbicella faveolata, 730 nucleotides long. The record is from RefSeq and is a predicted model, not a curated record. NCBI's taxonomy places the organism in Eukaryota, Metazoa, Cnidaria, Anthozoa, Scleractinia, Merulinidae.